This 138-nucleotide unclassified non-coding RNA is filed under the name uncultured fungus. RNAcentral describes it as "sequence contains ITS1, 5.8S rRNA gene". The record is from RNAcentral. Lineage: Eukaryota; Fungi.
CUGGGCUACGAGCGUCCGCGCUCACCCCCACCCUGUGCUUCGACCGAAACGCGCUCGGCGUCGUGGCCCCCCUCGGGGGGUCCAGCCGGACUACAACCCUGAACAACUGUGAAGCCUGAAGUUAAAAGCAAACAGUUA